Molecule: ribosomal RNA, 492 nt
Filed under: uncultured bacterium
Lineage: Bacteria
Description: partial 16S ribosomal RNA
Rfam family: Bacterial small subunit ribosomal RNA
Source: RNAcentral
AGUGAACGCUGGCGGUAGGCCCAACACAUGCAAGUCGAACGGCAGCACAGUAAGAGCUUGCUCUUACGGGUGGCGAGUGGCGGACGGGUGAAGAAUACAUCGGAAUCUACUUUUUCGUGGGGGAUAACGUAGGGAAACUUACGCUAAUACCGCAUACGACCUACGGGUGAAAGCAGGGGAUCUUCGGACCUUGCGCGAUUGAAUGAGCCGAUGUCGGAUUAGCUAGUUGGCGGGGUAAAGGCCCACCAAGGCGACGAUCCGUAGCUGGUCUGAGAGGAUGAUCAGCCACACUGGAACUGAGACACGGUCCAGACUCCUACGGGAGGCAGCAGUGGGGAAUAUUGGACAAUGGGCGCAAGCCUGAUCCAGCCAUACCGCGUGGGUGAAGAAGGCCUUCGGGUUGUAAAGCCCUUUUGUUGGGAAAGAAAAGCAGCAGGUUAAUACCCCGCUGUUCUGACGGUACCCAAAGAAUAAGCACCGGCUAACUUCGUG